This 385-nucleotide ribosomal RNA is filed under the name uncultured bacterium. RNAcentral describes it as "bacterial SSU rRNA". It matches the Rfam family "Bacterial small subunit ribosomal RNA", at positions 32 to 392 of the family's 1533-position model. The record is from RNAcentral.
AAUCAACGCUGGCGGCGUGCCUAACACAUGCAAGUCGAACGCGAAAGCGUCUUCGGACGUGAGUAGAGUGGCGUCCGGGUGAGUAACACGUAGGUAAUCUACCUUCGGGUGGGGAAUAACGCCUCGAAAGAGGCGCUAAUACCGCAUAACGCAGCGGCAGCUAAUGCUGAUUAGUUGUUAAAGCGGGGGACCGAGAGAUCGGCCUCGCGCCUGAAGAGGAGCCUGCGGCAGAUUAGCUAGUUGGCGGGGUAACGGCCCACCAAGGCGAUGACGCGUAACUGGUCUGAGAGGACGGCCAGUCACAUCGGGACUGAGACACUGCCCGGACUCCUACGGGGGGCGUGCAGUAACGAAUCUUCCCCAAUGCGCGCAAGCGUGAGGGAGC